GUACACUCCUGCGGGAGGCAGCAGUGGGGAAUAUUGGACAAUGGGCGCAAGCCUGAUCCAGCCAUGCCGCGUGAGUGAUGAAGGCCCUAGGGUUGUAAAGCUCUUUCACCGGUGAAGAUAAUGACGGUAACCGGCGAAGAAGCCCCGGCUAACUUCGUGCCAGCAGCCGCGGUAAUACGAAGGGGGCUAGCGUUGUUCGGAUUUACUGGGUGUAAAGCGCACGUAGGCGGACUAUUAAGUCAGGGGUGAAAUCCCGGGGCUCAACCCCGGAACUGCCUUUGAUACUGGUAGUCUUGAGUUCGAGAGAGGUGAGUGGAAUUCCGAGUGUAGAGGUGAAAUUCGUAGAUAUUCGGAGGAACACCAGUGGCGAAGGCGGCUCACUGGCUCGAUACUGACGCUGAGGUGCGAAAGCGUGGGGAGCAAACAGGAUUAGAUACCCUAGUAGUCCCAUGA
RNAcentral lists this ribosomal RNA (453 nucleotides) under uncultured organism. Its description in RNAcentral is "partial 16S ribosomal RNA". It matches the Rfam family "Bacterial small subunit ribosomal RNA", at positions 331 to 800 of the family's 1533-position model. The record is from RNAcentral.